RNAcentral lists this ribosomal RNA (481 nucleotides) under uncultured bacterium. Its description in RNAcentral is "partial 16S ribosomal RNA". It matches the Rfam family "Bacterial small subunit ribosomal RNA", at positions 28 to 507 of the family's 1533-position model. The record is from RNAcentral.
GAUGAACGCUGGCGGCGUGCUUAACACAUGCAAGUCGAACGAAGCAAUUUAUUUGAUUUCCUUCGGGACUGAGUAUGUGGGGAAUGAGUGGCGGACGGGUGAGUAAGGCGGGGGGAAAAGGCGUGGGACAGGGGGAGAACAGGUGGAAACGGCGGCUAAUACCGCAUAAGCGCAAGGCAUGGCAUGAUGCAGUGUGAAAAACGCCGGUGGGCGAAGGUGGACCCGCGUUGGAUUAGCUCGUUGGUGACGUCACGGCCCACCAAGGCGACGAUCCAUAGCCGCACUGACAGGGUCACCGGCACCCUUGGUACUUCCCCCCCGCACAAACUCCUACGGGAGGCAGCAGUCGGGAAUAUUCCACAAUGGGCGAAAGCCUGAUGCCUCUACGCCGCGUGAGCGAAGAAGUAUUUCGGUAUGUACCGCUCUAUCAGCAGGGAAGAUAAUGCCGGUACCUGACUAAGAAGCACCGGCUAAAUACGUG